Molecule: long non-coding RNA, 2589 nt
Organism: Gasterosteus aculeatus aculeatus (three-spined stickleback)
Lineage: Eukaryota; Metazoa; Chordata; Actinopteri; Perciformes; Gasterosteidae
Source: Ensembl
AUUCUCUCUGGCACUACAGAAUAGUUUCUCUUGACUGUUCAUUUUCGUUAUUUGCUCUUAUUACAUGAAUACGAAAGCCGGACCCAACCCAUUUCUUCUGAAAUACUGCAAUUCUCUCUGGCACUACAGCAUAGUUUCUCUUGACUGUUCAUUUCCGUUAUUUGCUCUUAUUACAUGAAUAAGAAAGCCGAAAAUAUGAAAGGAGGGGCUUAAAAAGGUCAAUGUCACCCGAAUGACAAAACGAAAGGUAGCUAAAACUAAUAACUUGGUAUUUACACUGGAAGGAAAUCUUGUGGCGGACCAGAUUCUUUUUGAACUUCAUUAGUUUCGUCUUCCAUAUGUAGGUACCUACUUUUAUGCUAACAUAAGAAGUUUUUAAGAGUCGUGACCCGUUUUCAUGUGGCGUGAAGUUAUUGGAUUAAACUGGUUAGCAAAUAGCGUCACAAAAAGUUCUCAAAAUAUCCAUGAAACCCUCUGAAUUUAAAAGUGGGCCUGCACAUACUUUGAAAGAACAAGGAUUAUGUGAAUGCACACAGAGAAUGGAUUUUGAUGUUUUCCUUCAGCAGUCCAACAUCCCAUUCGUCCUUUCCAAAUAGAGUGAUGACGCCCAACGUGGGGCUCGAACCCACGACCCUGAGAUUAAGAGUCUCAUGCUCUACCGACUGAGCUAGCCGGUCACUCUGACGUGUCCCAUCGUGGACGGACCCAACCCAUUUCUUCUGAAAUACUGCAAUUCUCUCUGGCACUACAGCAUAGUUUCUCUUGACUGUUCAUUUCCGUUAUUUCCUCUUAUUACAUGAAUACGAAAGCCGGACCCAACCCAUUUCUUCUGAAAUACUGCAAUUCUCUCUGGCACUACAGCAUAUUUCUCUUCACUGUUCAUUUCCGUUAUUUGCUCUUAUUACAUGAAUAAGAAAGCCGAAAAUAUGAAAGGAGGGGCUUAAAAAGGUCAAUGUCACCCGAAUGAAAAAACGAAAGGUAGCUAAAACUAAUAACUUGGUAUUUACACUGGAAGGAAAUCUUGUGGCGGACCAGAUUCUUUUUGAACUUCAUUAGUUUCGUCUUCCAUAUGUAGGUACCUACUUUUAUGCUAACAUAAGAAGUUUUUAAGAGUCGUGACCCGUUUUCAUGUGGCGUGAAGUUAUUGGAUUAAACUGGUUAGCAAAUAGCGUCACAAAAACUUCUCAAAAUAUCCAUGAAACCCUCCGAAUUUAAAAGUGGGCCUGCACAUACUUUGCAAAAACAAGGAUUAUGUGAAGGCAUAUAGUGAAUGGAUUUUGAUGUUUUCCUUCAGCAGUCCAACAUCCCAUUCGUCCUUUCCAAAUAGAGUGAUGACGCCCAACGUGGGGCUCGAACCCACGACCCUGAGAUUAAGAAUGUGAUGCUCUACCGACUGAGCUAGCCGGGCACUCUGACAUGUCCCAUCGUGGACGGAUCCAACCCAUUUCUUCUGAAAUACUGCAAUUCUCUCUGGCACUACAGCAUAGUUUCUCUUCACUGUUCAUUUUCGUUAAUUGCUCUUAUUACACGAAUAAGAAAGCCGAAAAUAUGAAAGGAGGGGCUUAGAAAGGUCAAUGUCACCGGAUGAAAAAACAAAAGUGAGCUAAAACUAAUAAACUAACUUGGUUUGUAAAAACAAAAUAUAUAAAUAAAAUAAAUAUCACUUUCCCUCCACUGCUGGGACCAGUGACAGAAUACUCAAAAUCUCUCCGAGAAAACCUCCUUCCUUCCUCUCUCCUCCCACUGUCUCUGUGUAUCUCUCCCACUGCUGUCUAAUAAUACCUCUGUUCAGCUCAACAUAGGGGCCUUUGAUAGCACCGGCUACUCCAGGCUACAAUUCGUCAGCCAUGACGUCAAUGCAUCCAAACAUAUAGGGCUGUGUGUAGAAGAGAACCUUACUGUGGGUGGGUUAGCUGGGCCUGCUUCACCCAUGACUUUUAGCUUCCCAUGGUUUUUGAGUACAGUGAAUAAAAAAACAAAGUUAUGAAUGCUGGAAAGGUGAGGAGAGGGUGCACAUUACAAAAAACAACAUUGAACGAUCAAAUGACUGGCAGCAUUUGUUCACAAACAAAACAUGGAGAAUCAAUGUAAAACAUCUUAAUUAAAGUUCAAAAACCAUACAUUUACGGAAACUUUCAUUAAAUCACUGUUACAUCACUGAUUGGUUGAGGCCAGAUGCGCAACAUUUCAUUAUUACAUUACAUUACAUGUAAUUUAGCUGACGCUUUUCAUCCAAGGCAACUAAGUGCAUUUCAACCAUAAGAAUACAAACUCAGAAGAACAAGACACAAGAAAGUGCAAUUUCAUCAAAUAACCCAAUUUACAUCUUCAAAAGCAGUGCAGCAUUGUACUGGACUGCAUUAUGUUUGAUGUAGUGAAUAAGGAUUUAUCUUAAAAAUACAAAGAAAAUCAAAAUUAUUACUAUGGAUAUGAACUUUUAUAUUACGUGCAACAUAUUUAAUUACAGAUCAUUGUUGUUAUUAAAUACAUAAAUAAAUUUGCAUGUUAUUUAAGGAUGCAGUAAAGAUACUGUAUCAAUAAGACAUAAAUCAAUAACCUUUUCAUGUAUAUAUAUAUAUAUAUAUAUAU